Molecule: long non-coding RNA, 1613 nt
Organism: Neopelma chrysocephalum (saffron-crested tyrant-manakin)
Lineage: Eukaryota; Metazoa; Chordata; Aves; Passeriformes; Pipridae
Exons: 3
Source: RefSeq, a predicted model, not a curated record
UCUGCACGUGCAGCCGGGGCUGUGCUGCCUCUUUACACAUCACCCUGGGUCAACCACCCCGUCCUGCCCGGCCAGUUGGUGUGGUGGGGACAUGGGGCCCUGCUGGUAAAACCACUCCAGGACAAGAUCUAGGAAAAGGGCAGCCUGGUUUCAUGGCUGUCUCCUCCUCCUCACUCUGAAGUCACUGCAGUUUCAGGUAAGUUUAACAGGUGAUUUGUAUUCACCACCAUUAAGGGCAGUGCUCACCGCUCUGUCCUGCAGGCUGGCUGCACACCACAGGGAAUUGCUCGUUGACCCCAAGCUUUCCUCUGCCCAAUUAUCCUGGUUAGCUUGCAGGCAGCCUCGGGAGCGGGGCAGGGAGCAGGUCACACCGAGGGACUCGUCCUCCCGUGCCCCUGCCUGCCCUCGAGCUGGGGGCAGGGUGCUGGGCAGGGGUGGCUCCUGGAGGGUGUCAGGUCACGGCAGCCUCAAAGCCAGUUGGGAAGAAGAAAGUUCCAGUCCUGGGACACCCCUCAAGCACCUGCACUGGUGUGUGGCACACCCUGACCGGGCUGGUGCUGACCCAGAGCAGCUGGUGCAGGGCAAACCUUGAUGUGGCUUGUGGAGCAUCACCAGUGCCGUGUCCCCACAGGACGGGUGACAUUCUCCUCACAGGACUUUCUCCUGUGGCCAUUGGCACCCUGGGGGUACCUGUGCUGAGUGGCCAGAGCAAGUGGCUGGACCUCAGGGUUGCCUCUGGCAGACAGGACCUCGUGGGUCUUGUCCCUCAAACCAACUAUGAGCCCAAUGCCUGCCAGACCUCACCCAGCUCCCCCAAAGCUGCAAACGGGCUGGAGCUGUUCCAGUGCUGUGAUUCCCAUCCAGAAGCCCCGAAAGUGGACAUGGGGGUGAAACUGGGAGACCUGAGACCCGCUGCCACCCACGAGCACGCCUAAUUCCUGUUUUCCUCCAAGCCCAUCCCAAGCAUCUCCCUGUGCUGCUAGAGUAGAGAUUUGUUAUCCAUCUGGGACUACUGGUCCCUUCUGGAGCAGCCCUGAACUCUCCAUUAGACCAGUUGCUUUCUGAUUCGGAGGGGAGCAAAGAGUUAAAAUUUAUUCCAUCCACCUGUAUAUUUUCCCAAGCCUUCUGAUAGCAAUCAAGAAUGCAGGAAACGGUGUAUUUAAGGGGUCUGAAUUUGCCAAAACUGUGCCACAAGUCAAACUUAUAAAGCAAAGUUUAUUUGUAAAGUUACAGAAGGCUGAAGUAUCUCCUGUUGAAGGGGCAAGUGCUGGAGCUCAUCAAGGCACAGAUCAGCCCUGCUGGGUUAUAGAGGGACCUUUGACUGUUGACUGGGAUCAUUUCAGCUUGUUUGGAGCCCUGGGAGGGACCCGACAGGGCUCAGCAAUGCCUCAGCUGGGGCUCCCCAGCUCCAGGGGGCUCAGCACCACUGGAUUUGGUAUCUAUCUCUGCUGGAUGGUGGGAGGCUGUGGUGGGGUGCUGUGAUGUGCCCCCAGCCACACAAGGACCAUGAGUUCUUGGCCAUGAACCCAGCCCACCCCGUGUGCUGCUUUCCAGGGAUCCUCCAAUCCCUAAAGGCUCCGUGAGAGAGUUUUAUAAACUCUUCCCAUGCUGAA